GGUUCCUGACCCCCGGGCCAGGCCCGGCAGCCCAGCAGGGAGAGGGGCGAGGAUGCGGCACCUCGGCAGGAAUGGAUAAUUUGGGCAUAACUUUUCUUCCAUUCCCUGCUCCAGUCCCAGUCCCAUCCUGAGAUGGACAGUGGCUUGCUGAAAGUCAUUACGGUUUUCUUCCAGUAAAAGUGAAACGAGUUAUUUUCUUGAGAAAACUCCACUUCACCAACAGCUGUGGCUUGUAAGUACUCUACCUAUACAUAGAGAUUCCACAUUAAAACAUAUUUCAAAUUAUUUUUUAAAACUUACUCCCAAAGCUUAUAAACUUCUCAUACACCUGGCAUUACUAUUGAGAGCUUAGCUUGUUCUGCUGCCUAGGAAGGACACUUACACACCUUCUAAUUGCUCUCUUUGUUCUGCUUUGCUACACAAAGUAAGGAUGUAAAAGAAUGCUACACCUGAACAGACAGUCUGAGCUAUCACUUGACCAAUCUGAAUUUUCAGAACCAUCCUAAUAUUCCUCAGGAAUUCCCAGUUUAGCUCUGAGACUAAUGAACUGCCUUAUUUUGCACAUGCUAGAAGAUGAUGUAUUAUGUGAGCCACACGUUACUUUUACAUGUCAAAACUGUUAGUUAAAGAACCAGAGAAGUGGUCGUUCCUGUAAGUUCGGAAAAAAAAAAUAAGGAGAACAAUUGUUUAAAUGAUUUUUGUUUUGAAUGCCUGCAAGCAGAGAAAAGCUGGCAUUUCUUAUCAGGUUGUUUGGAUUGUGGAUACAAGUGAGAGAUGAGAAAAUCCAUGUAUCAGUGUUUUUGCUGGACCGUUCUGGUUUAUGAUCCCUCCACUGGAAGCCUCGGUCUCAUCUGCCUUGUGCUUAUUUCCCACCACUGUGAGCACUUGUUAGACAAGAAACUGGCAGUCCUCAGCAUGUCAAGCACUGCAGUUCACAGGCAAGCCCUGGGAAAGCUGAGGCCUUGAGGAAACACUCAUCCCUUGGAGAUGUAUUUGUGUUAGGGCUCCCACUGUUUCUACCAGAAGCAAGGUUGAAUUAGAAGAAACAUGGCAAGAGCUGGUGAUGAGAACUCCCUACAGAUACCCAUAAAAGGAAGAGCACUGAUACCACGUUGAUUUGGGAAUACUCAGAAAACCUUAGUUCCACCCUCUCCACUGAUCCACUGCUGACAGAACACCCUCAAUUUACGUGACAGAGGUUGAACUAGCCAGGAGUACCUUUCCAAAAAAGCUGGAAAGGUCUAUAUUCCUGGCUUCAGGAGUCUUGUUCUUGCUUAAAUGAAGCUGGAACAGUUUACACUCGUUGCAAAAUAUAAGGGUACACUCACACAAGCCUACAUGUAAGCACAGUCAUCCCAGCGUAACUCCAGGGAUGUGUGUGGGCAAAUACUGGCAGUGUCCUUCGGACAAUGGCUGGCUGAAGCUGCAAUCCAAUGGGGACUGGAUGUCAGCAUGUGGCCUGAUGCUGUAUGUGCAUGAAGCUGCUAACAUGGGGUAUGGGGAAGAAAUCUCUCGGGCCACAUCAGCACCCCAUUCUUCCUCUCCUACCAAAAAAUCUGCCUCUGGACGCCGCAACUGGCUUUGCUAAUGGCUCAGCUUGAGCUGAUCCCCAUGUCUCAGUGCCACAGCAGCUUUUAUCAGUAAUUGGAUUAGGAAAGAAAGGCUCCAAUUAUCAAAGUGCCAUAGACACUGGGACAGGCAUAUUGCUUGCUGAAAUGUUUUUGGUCAGAACAGGUUAACAUUUUGAGAGCAAUUUGGUCAGGCUGUGUUUAAAGGAGCUGGUUUUGAAAACGCACUGCAGCUUCUUCGUUAAGAGCUACAGUGGCCCUGUUUAGGAAGGGGGAAAAAACAUCCUGCUGAUCUAACUUACGUACACACACACACACGAGCAUGACUUCUGUGCAUUCAUCAUUUAGUUCAAAAGCUUUUUUCUUUUUGUGGAAGACAUGAGUUCUUUGCGGAUAGCCAGCAUUAAGGAGUUAGGUAAGUAUGCAAGCUGUAAUGCAGUUUCUGAAGUUAUUUUAAAUAUUUGGGUUGUCCACUUAAACUAUGUUUAAAUAAAGUUAGUACAGAUUUCUUCAUUUCUUUGAUGGCACGAUAAAGCCAGACCUUCUGUCACGACACACAUCAGCAUUUAAUGGCCAGGUUGAAUCAUGGCAGGCUGAUUAGGAUACCAGGCUUUGAGGAUUUCUGUAACCGUGUUUCUAACUUUGUCAGGGACUGCCCCUAGACUUCUCAGCUUUAUUUUUUUCUUUUUUUGCAAGGAAGAGGAGCAGCUGUGUGACUAAACACCUGGAAUUCAGGGUUUGGAGCUCCCUGACAAUGUCAGCCUUAAAUCAACUGCCCUCAUCAAGCAGCUCUGCCUAACUGCAUUCUGGGGGCAGUGAGAAAAGCUUCUGCCUGGGAUAGACAGUUUUAUUUCCUUUUUGUGCAGUAUGAACUUGUAAGCAAUGAGUACAGCCCCAAGCUUCUGUACUCAGAAAACUUAGGUUUAACACAUUAAUGGGCAGAAACAGACUCUGCAGCUAAGUACAUAAUGGAUUACCACUUAACGUUGUGGUCAUCUGUUUUUGUUAAAUAGAUGCUUAGGAACUGUUUACUCAGAGACACUGAGAAAAGUUAGGAAUCAAAUUGAGAGGUUAAGUUAACACUUUAAUAGGCAUUAAACUCUUGUGCAGAUGCACAUGUUCAGAGCCGUAGUGAUCACGGUAUAAUCCUUUAAUUUAUGUGCAUUAGCUACACAUCUUUGAUUCCUCUGAAUUCCCCAAGUUCUUCAUAAAGACAAGAUUUUUCAGGGUUUGUCCACGUACAUAAGCUAUGACAGUCUGUGUCAGUGUCUGAAUGGAGAGAGCAAAGGUUGCUCCUGGAUUAUUUAUUCAUUAUGAAGUGAAAGGAUAUGGUUCCUGAUUAGGUUACCUCAGCAACAGAUCUUCUGCACCAGUUACAUGAUGUAAGGGCUUCAUUUCCUGUGAUAUUACCCCAAAUUGCAUAACUAGGACUGGAACAGAAAACAGCUUUGUUCUCCCCUUGCUCUGAAGUGUAGAGCCGGAUGCUGAAGAUCUGUUGUACAGAAGGACCUUCUUAUCACAGAACUUUGUGGCGCCUGAUCAUCAUCUAGCUCCGUUCAACUACUGAAUCUGGGAGGAGUCACCAGGAACUACACUGAGAAACAGUAUCACCUCAGAAUCAACUUUGAAGAUUUUUCUUACUUCCACCAGUAACCCCAGGAGAAAGCUAUGAUGACAAAUACACAGGAUUCCCCCCCAAAAAAGUGUUCUUGGCUUGAUUUCUUGGCCUUUCCUCCCAGCCACCAAAAGCAACAAUUUGCCUCCAAGGCAAUUCAAACAAGAUCUGCAGCAGGGCUUCUAAUAAGCCUUUUUCUCCAGAAGUGUGCAACUUUGCCAUUGCAACCAUCAUCAAAACAGCAUCUUAAAGCUGCUGACAUUCUGCUAUAAGACUACAGAGGGAGGGAGCAAAGUCAUUCCUUAACAGCAACAACCUUUAAGGUAAAUUCAGAAGUUACGUUUGCAACAGAUUUCAUACCCAGGGCUAAAUAAAUGUAUGAGAUUGUGAACUCAAGAUUCUAAGAGCACAGAGUCAAUUCAAAGCAAUUUAUUAAUAACUUUAAUACCCACCAUUACCUGUUAAAUAGAAAGGUAAAAUUAAAAAAGAAGCCUACAAAGCAGAGAGCUUGCAAAUGAGAAAGACCAAGUGCAAAACCCAAGGAGACAGAAGUUAGGCAACAGCAGCUAAUUCCCUCAAAUUAAGUGACAGAAAAGGUAGCAUGAAUGAACAUAUAGUUACCCAGAAAUGCGCGUGACAGUUGACCAUCAUGGUCCUCUCAAUCAGCUCAUCAGGACACUCCAAAAGGUGGUGCCCGGAGACCACGCCAGCAUUGUUAACCAGGACGGAAACCUCUCCAACCUCUUUGCGGACCCUCUCCGCUGUUGUGUAGACAUUUUCUCUUUUGCCCACAUCACAGGUGUAUGUGUAAACCUGCAAGCUGCAAUGGGGCAGCGCAUCUUUCUCUCCGUCUCCAGCUACUAAGGAAUACAGGGGAAAGAGAAGAGAAAACGUUCUUAGUUGGAUUUCAGCAGGCAAAUAAAGGAUUGAGCAAAAGAGCAAACUUACUUCCAACGC
This is a long non-coding RNA of Gallus gallus (chicken), 4140 nucleotides long. RefSeq lists it as uncharacterized. Lineage: Eukaryota; Metazoa; Chordata; Aves; Galliformes; Phasianidae. The record is from RefSeq and is a predicted model, not a curated record. The transcript has 5 exons.